RNAcentral lists this long non-coding RNA (1629 nucleotides) under Solanum tuberosum (potato). RNAcentral describes it as "long non-coding RNA (STUB_LNC008085)". The record is from RNAcentral. Lineage: Eukaryota; Viridiplantae; Streptophyta; Magnoliopsida; Solanales; Solanaceae.
UGAAAUAAAGCCUUGACAAUCCCAAAUGCUACCCUACAAACAUCAAAUGCAAGCCAAACAAGUAAAUGCAACUCUUCACUCGCUGUUUGUGUUACCUUCUUACAUAACCUUCUGUUACAAGGCAUUCACAGUAGAAUCUUUAUGUGAAAUCAACUUGGUACAUACAAAGUUUGUUCUCCAGCUUAUAUACUGUAUGAACAAGAAUUGUUGGCAACUCUUUUUUACUUCAAAGCUUCAGUUGAUUUUGUAAUUUUAAUUUGAACAUUUGAUACGUCAAGAGUAAAUGCAACUGUAAUAAACAUGAUACCAGAAACUAUUCUUGGAAUGCAUAUCUUUGGUGUUGAGAAUAGGUCACACAACUUGAGUUAAUUAAAAUCUCCAUUUCUUUUUGCUACUUUCAACUUCUCUACAAAAGUAUUGUAACCACCAUUUCCCUUUUAGUGUCUUCAGGUUUUCUACAUAGCUCCUAAACAAGUGUGGUCAGUGUAGAGCUGUGUUUGCUUCUACAUUAUGACAAGGUAAUGCUAGUGUGCGGUGAGCGAGCAUGCUCUGUGUACAAUUAAGCAAAGAGUUGCUGAAGGUUGGAACGGAAUAUCGUAUGUAGUGUUGAAUGCAAUCUGAACCUCCUUUUACUUUCAGCCCUCAGCUUGGUUCUUCUUCCUCUUUCCUUUUUGUUCACAAUUUUUUCUUAUGUUUUUAUUAAUUUCGGUGUUAUUCAUUUUUGCUCUUUUUGGGUUUUUAAAACACCAACAGAGCUUCAAUAUUGCAAUUGAUCAUUGAGAUGUUGAAUUGUCUGCCUUUUAUUUUCAUUAAGGAGUUAAAAGUUUAAUUGUAUCAUUUGAAAUUGGGUUUUAAGAUAUCAAAUAAAGUUUGAUUUCAGGGAUGGACCAAACAAUUUGAAAGUUCCGGGUAUACAUGAAAAGAACUACAUAGAAGUUGCUUGAUGAGUGCCUCACACUGAGAGGGUAAGUCAUGAAAAUCAGAAAAUUUCUUCACCUUUAUUUAUAUCAAUACUUAGGUGCAUCUUUGUUUCUUGCUUUGAUUUCCUAGAAUAGUAUUUUGAGUAUGAAAAAUGGGUCCUUCAGAGUGAAAUUGAUGUUUAUAAAUCAAAUUACCGAAUAUAUUUUUCAAAAAUAAAUAAUCAUCGGUGUAUAUGACUGGAGAAGAAACUCAGACAUCUGAGAAAAAUAUUCUUAUUGGGUUUUCAGUAGACGGGACCUUACUUAAAUUGACAUUUUCAUGCAAAUUAGUUGCACUCUUUGGUGCUUAUACGUGGGGUAGUAGGCUUAGUAGUUAUCUUUAUGCUUUAUGUAACACCUCUGGAUCUUCGAUGACUAUUUAUCAAAAUUGAAAUGUUUCCUCAUCUUAUUUCUUUUAAAAGGCUGAUUCUAUGUCCUCUAUAGUCAUGUUACAAUCAAUCGUCUGUCCAAUGGUGAGGAGCCAAAUUAUCUCUCUGCAAGUAUGGAAAUGAUACGUGGUACACCCGAUUCUUGACGAACUCGAGAGGCAAAGAGAAUGGUUGGGUGGCGAGGCAUCACUUCUUACAAGGUUUGAUGCUAUUUUAUUGGUUGGGUGGCAAGGCAUCACUUCUUACAAGGUUUGAUGCUAUUUUAUUGGUUGGGUGGCAAG